UCGAACCUGCAGCAGGUUUGAGUUGAGCGCAGCGAAACAACGGAGCCGCUCGCGGCGACGGCCCGAAGGGCGAGCGAAGCGAGUCAUCCUGCACGACCCACCA
Molecule: small RNA, 103 nt
Filed under: Escherichia coli
Lineage: Bacteria; Pseudomonadati; Pseudomonadota; Gammaproteobacteria; Enterobacterales; Enterobacteriaceae
Also listed under: 2 other names
Description: partial RtT sRNA
Rfam family: RtT RNA
About the family: This family represents a bacterial cis-regulatory element known as RtT RNA. The exact function of RtT is unknown although it is thought that it may be involved in changing the cellular response in relation to amino acid starvation.
Source: RNAcentral